RNAcentral lists this long non-coding RNA (1004 nucleotides) under Phascolarctos cinereus (koala). Its description in RNAcentral is "lncRNA (ENSPCIG00000035396.1)". Lineage: Eukaryota; Metazoa; Chordata; Mammalia; Diprotodontia; Phascolarctidae. The record is from RNAcentral.
AGACACAUGGAGCCCAGACACCUGCAAUAACCAAGGAACUUCUGAGUCCUGGGGCUGAUGCUUGCCCGUUCUGCUGAGGAUGGCACCACGCCCCAGUUUCCCACUAGGAAGAAGACUGACCCGAGACACUCCUGGACAGUGAUCCUGAUGUCUCUUCUGUGCAGAGCAUUCAACUGUAAGAUAACACAAGCUGGAGCUAGCCUCUCACCGAGGAUGGAGCAAGAAGGCGGAGUGCUAAAGGAAGGCUUCCUUGUGAAAAGGGUGAGUGAAUGUCCACCUACAGGCUAACUAUCCCUGGGGUUUUGUUUUUUUCCUUCCAGGGAGGACUUUUCCCUAGAGGGACAGAAAUUGUCUUAUAGGUGGAGGGCUAGACCUGGUUCCCGGCCUUCCCUGCCUCCCCUGCCCAGCCCCUGAGAUCCCUUUUUAUAUCCUUUUACAGAAUGUUGGGCUGUGCUUCAGCCCUGGAGUUCCACCCCCUCAUCCUCAACACCGCCCCCCCACCUCCCCAAUCUUUUAAGUCUCCCAGUGCCCCUCUCUCUGGUCCUGACCUGCACCCUCCUACCUUGAUUAGAAGGCAGACAUGCCAUGUGACAAGCAUUCUUCCAAUUUACUGAAUUCAAAAGAGCAACCUAACUGGGCCCUUCCCUGAAGUAUUUUGGGAGGCUAAAGGUGUGGUCUGUGAAAAAUUAAGAGGGAGAAACAUUUCCAGUUGUGGCCUGUGGCUUGUGGGGAGGGUGGAGGUGGGUAGGAAACAACCCAACUUGUCCAGAAGGAAGAGGACAACUCUCUGCAAGAGAGACACAGAUGAUGUCAGUGUUAAGAGUGAAGGAAACCAAAUAUCCACUAUAGUAAAAUUUUAUAUUAAUGUUACUAAUAACUGACAUUUAUAAAAGGCUUUAAGGUUUGCAAAGAGCUUUACGUAUAUCAUCUCACUGGAGUCCAACAACCCCAUGAGCAAAUGAGGAAACUGAAGGCCAGAGAGGCCAGACUUGCCUUUGGACAAG